AGAUGGAUCAGUGGGGUCUUUCCCGUUGAAACGUAAGCUAUCGCAGAAAGAAGAGCCUGAGCCAAAAAGGUUGCAGCGUAUUGCUAAAGGUUCUAAGUCUCGAGACAGUGUUUUUGCUGCUUUAUGCUCAACCUUAAGUCAAGCAGUUUUACCCUCUAAAAAGACGGGAAGUACAGCACAAGACGGUUCAUGCUCAGAUGGAGACAAGAAGACUGUCGAAUCCAAACACGAGGAAAAAGGGGAUUCUACUGAUAAUGGCAGUGCAGAUUUGGAUAAACAUG
This 281-nucleotide long non-coding RNA is filed under the name Capsicum annuum. RNAcentral describes it as "long non-coding RNA (CANN_LNC018297)". The record is from RNAcentral. Lineage: Eukaryota; Viridiplantae; Streptophyta; Magnoliopsida; Solanales; Solanaceae.